Molecule: long non-coding RNA, 518 nt
Organism: Salvia splendens (bonfire salvia)
Lineage: Eukaryota; Viridiplantae; Streptophyta; Magnoliopsida; Lamiales; Lamiaceae
Exons: 3
Source: RefSeq, a predicted model, not a curated record
CCUUCCUCUAAACCCUUCUACAUGUUUUCCUUAUUCACCAAAACCUAAAAUCUCUCCAACAACCAAAUAAAUCAAUAUCCAUCAGUUUAAUAUCCCACAUUCACGUCUUCCCCAUCCGAGAAAAAUCUGUGAGAAAAACCUAGUGCAGUUUUCUCCUCUUCCGUGAAGUGUGAAGGAGAAACCGAGGGAGCGUGAUUUUUUUUUUCAAUACCUUCUGUUUGAGCAAUUUUCGUUCCAUACCAAAGAUUGAGCGGCGAUGGACGUGGAGGAUGUUGAGCAGAGUUCAUGGAUUGUUUUGUCAUGAUUAAUAAUUGUUGGAUUUGUCGUGUCUUCAUACUCGGCAUUUUCCGUGUCUUGAACGCUUCCGCUAAGAGUCCUUUUCUUUAGAAUUGUUUAUUCAUGGAGAGUCUUACUCGUUUGAAAAUUGUCCAUUCUUUAUUUACUUAGAGUUGGUAUUAUUGUUAGGAUAAUAUUAUGACGUUUUCAAAGUUAAUCCAGUUAUUAAAUUUUUGGUCAAA